GCUUGGCUGGCUCUGUCUGUAGAGUGUGUGACUCUUCAUCUCAGGGUCAUGAGUUCAAGCCCCAUGUUAGGCG
RNAcentral lists this transfer RNA (73 nucleotides) under Mustela putorius furo (domestic ferret). It matches the Rfam family "tRNA". Rfam says of the family: Transfer RNA (tRNA) molecules are approximately 80 nucleotides in length. Lineage: Eukaryota; Metazoa; Chordata; Mammalia; Carnivora; Mustelidae. The record is from Rfam by way of RNAcentral.